GGCUAACGCUGGCGGCGUGUCUUAGCCAUGCAAGUCGAGCGGACUUAUGGGGUAACUUAUAAGUCAGCGGCGGACGGCGGAGUAACACGUAGCUAACCUACCCUCUGGACGGGGAUAACCUACCGAAAGGUGGGCUAAUACCCGAUGUAGUCAUCCUGUAUAGGGGUGAUGAAAGGUGGGCUUCUGUUUACAAGCUCAUGCUGGAGGAGGGGGCUGCGGCCUAUCAGGUAGUUGGUAGGGUAAUAGCCUACCAAGCCGAUGACGGGUAGCCGGCCUGAGAGGGUGACCGGCCCGAGGGGCACUGAGAUACGGGUCCCACUCCUACGGGAGGCAGCAGUCGAGAAUAGUCUACAAUGGCCGGAAGGCUGAUAGUGCGACGCCGCGUGAACGAGGGACCCGUUCGGGGUGUAAAGUUCUUUUCUAUACGAGCAGUGCUAUAUAUAUGGAUAGUAUAUAUAGAGGGAUAGUAGUAUAGGAAUAAGCAACGGCUAACUCCGUGCCAGCAGCCG
This 509-nucleotide ribosomal RNA is filed under the name uncultured bacterium. RNAcentral describes it as "bacterial SSU rRNA". It matches the Rfam family "Bacterial small subunit ribosomal RNA", at positions 28 to 517 of the family's 1533-position model. The record is from RNAcentral.